AACGAACGCUGGCGGCAUGCUUAACACAUGCAAGUCGAACGGGACGGCCGGGUUUAGUGGCGCACGGGGGCGUGACGCGGGGGAACCUGCCCGUAGGUUCGGAACAACUCCCCGUAAGGGGUGCUAAUACCGGAGGAGGUCUUCGGUCCAACGAGUUGUCGCCGUUGGGUGGGGCUGCGUCUGUUUAGCCGGUUGGUAGGGUAAAAGCGGAUCAUGGGGACGAUGCAUGGGUGGUCUGAGAGGAUGCUCAGCCACUGUGGGACUGCGACGCGGCCUAGGCUCCGCCGGGGGGCAGCAGUGGGGAAUAUUGGACGAUGGGCGAUAGAGUGAUCCCGCGAUGCCGCGUAAGUGAUGAAGGCCUUAGGGUUGUAAAGCUCUUUUACCCGGGAUGAUGAUGACAGUGGCGGGAGAAGCACCUCCUGCUAACGUC
RNAcentral lists this ribosomal RNA (430 nucleotides) under uncultured bacterium. RNAcentral's name for it is "partial 16S ribosomal RNA". It matches the Rfam family "Bacterial small subunit ribosomal RNA", at positions 28 to 504 of the family's 1533-position model. The record is from RNAcentral.